UACGUAGGGGGGCAAGCGUUGUCCGGAUUUACUGGGCGUAAAGCGCGUGUAGGCGGUUGGGUAAGUCUGCUGUGAAAGCUCCUCGCUUAACGGGGAGAGGUCGGUGGAAACUGCUCAACUUGAGGACGGUAGAGGGGGGUGGAAUUCCCGGUGUAGUGGUGAAAUGCGUAGAGAUCGGGAGGAACACCAGCGGCGAAGGCGGCCCCCUGGGCCCGCUCCUGACGCUGAGACGCGAAGGCCAGGGUAGCGAACGGG
This 255-nucleotide ribosomal RNA is filed under the name uncultured bacterium. RNAcentral's name for it is "partial 16S ribosomal RNA". It matches the Rfam family "Bacterial small subunit ribosomal RNA", at positions 524 to 776 of the family's 1533-position model. The record is from RNAcentral.